AAACCCAUCAAAGAAACUCCUGUAUUAUAAGUGACAUAUGGUUAUGCAAAUGUACACUGGUGAGCAAAAUGCCAUGAAUCUCCACUAUGGCAAAGACAAAGGAAAAUUUGUUCAAUGCAGGCAUAUCACCAAGGUUCAAGAAGCACUAUAUUGGCAUACUACCUGCACUUUCGACAAAGUAAAUCAUAUCAGAGAGAACCAUCACAACCAAUCCAUGUGGAGAAACUCCGUGCCUCUCAUGGUCAAAAUGGAAAAACAUUGGAUCUAACACUCCACGCACUAUACUGCUACUCUCUUUUGCUAGGUCAGCCAUCCUAACUG
RNAcentral lists this long non-coding RNA (321 nucleotides) under Capsicum annuum. Its description in RNAcentral is "long non-coding RNA (CANN_LNC019222)". Lineage: Eukaryota; Viridiplantae; Streptophyta; Magnoliopsida; Solanales; Solanaceae. The record is from RNAcentral.